UACGGAGGGGGCAAGCGUUGUUCGGAAUUACUGGGCGUAAAGCGCGUGUAGGCUGCUCUGUAAGUCAGGUGUGAAAGCCCUGGGCUCAACCUAGGAAGUGCACUUGAAACUACAGAGCUGGAGAUCUGGAGAGGAAGGCGGAAUUCUCGGUGUAGAGGUGAAAUUCGUAGAUAUCGAGAGGAACACCGGUGGCGAAGGCGGCCUUCUGGGCAGCAUCUGACGCUGAGACGCGAAAGCGUGGGGAGCAAACAGG
This 253-nucleotide ribosomal RNA is filed under the name uncultured bacterium. RNAcentral's name for it is "partial 16S ribosomal RNA". It matches the Rfam family "Bacterial small subunit ribosomal RNA", at positions 524 to 776 of the family's 1533-position model. The record is from RNAcentral.